RNAcentral lists this ribosomal RNA (546 nucleotides) under Haemophilus influenzae. Its description in RNAcentral is "partial 23S ribosomal RNA". It matches the Rfam family "Bacterial large subunit ribosomal RNA", at positions 1 to 577 of the family's 2925-position model. The record is from RNAcentral. Lineage: Bacteria; Pseudomonadati; Pseudomonadota; Gammaproteobacteria; Pasteurellales; Pasteurellaceae.
GUUGUAUAGUUAAGUGACUAAGCGUACAAGGUGGAUGCCUUGGCAAUCAGAGGCGAAGAAGGACGUGCUAAUCUGCGAAAAGCUUGGAUGAGUCGAUAAGAGGCGUUUAAUCCAAGAUAUCCGAAUGGGGAAACCCAGUAGAUGAAGAAUCUACUAUCAACAAGUGAAUUCAUAGCUUGUUGAGGCAAACCGGGAGAACUGAAACAUCUAAGUACCCCGAGGAAAAGAAAUCAACCGAGAUUUCGUCAGUAGCGGCGAGCGAAAGCGAAAGAGCCAGUAAGUGAUAACAGUAUGGUUAGGAGAAUGUGUUGGGAAGCACAAUCAAAGAGGGUGAUAAUCCCGUAUCUAAAAACCAUAUUGUGGUACUAAGCUAACGAGAAGUAGGGCGGGACACGUGAUAUCCUGUUUGAAGAAGGGGGGACCAUCCUCCAAGGCUAAAUACUCCUGAUUGACCGAUAGUGAACCAGUACUGUGAAGGAAAGGCGAAAAGAACCCCGGUGAGGGGAGUGAAAUAGAACCUGAAACCUUGUACGUACAAGCAGUGGG